This is a long non-coding RNA of Bubalus bubalis (water buffalo), 279 nucleotides long. RefSeq lists it as uncharacterized. NCBI's taxonomy places the organism in Eukaryota, Metazoa, Chordata, Mammalia, Artiodactyla, Bovidae. The transcript is spliced from 2 exons. The record is from RefSeq and is a predicted model, not a curated record.
CUUUUUUCCUGUUGACUCUCCCCAUCCGGCCCUCUGAAUCACCAGACUCCACAGGAAAGCAGCAGAUGUUGACUUUACUUCGUGCAAGCCAACGUCAGCGCACUCCUGUGGAGUGGGGAGAAGGCAGGAAGGGAUUUUCUUCCGGGCAAAGAAGCCAAGCUGUAGGGAAAGAGAUAAGAGUCAUCACCAAAUGCCCUGCCUGGAGACCCUGCCAAAGGCCUUUAGAGGUAUCUGAAGACUUCAGUUUUGUUCUGCUUCCAAAAAUGAGAUUCAAAUUUA